AUUGAACGCUGGCGGCAUGCCUUACACAUGCAAGUCGAACGGUAACAGGUCUUCGGAUGCUGACGAGUGGCGAACGGGUGCGUAAUACAUCGGAACGUGCCCAGACGUGAGGGAUAACGAGGCGAAAGCUUUGCUAAUACCGCAUACGAUCUAAGGAUGAAAGCAGGGGACCGCAAGGCCUUGCGCGUUUGGAGCGGCCGAUGGCAGAUUAGGUAGUUGGUGGGAUAAAAGCUUACCAAGCCGACGAUCUGUAGCUGGUCUGAGAGGACGACCAGCCACACUGGGACUGAGACACGGCCCAGACUCCUACGGGAGGCAGCAGUGGGGAAUUUUGGACAAUGGGCGAAAGCCUGAUCCAGCAAUGCCGCGUGCAGGAUGAAGGCCUUCGGGUUGUAAACUGCUUUUGUACGGAACGAAAAGGCUCUGGCUAAUACCUGGGGCACAUGACGGUACCGUAAGAAUAAGCACCGGCUAACUACGUG
Molecule: ribosomal RNA, 482 nt
Filed under: uncultured bacterium
Lineage: Bacteria
Description: partial 16S ribosomal RNA
Rfam family: Bacterial small subunit ribosomal RNA
Source: RNAcentral